Molecule: long non-coding RNA, 1030 nt
Organism: Wyeomyia smithii (pitcher-plant mosquito)
Lineage: Eukaryota; Metazoa; Arthropoda; Insecta; Diptera; Culicidae
Exons: 3
Source: RefSeq, a predicted model, not a curated record
AUAAGCACGUCAAGGGCCAGCAUGAUGCAAUAAAAUUUCUGUUUACAUUUUUUGUGCAGUUUGGGUUGUAUUUUGUAGGCAGUUUAUUCUGCUUAAUUCUGGUAAAUAUGUUAUAAUUGAACGUGUCGUCAGGUGAAAGCCGACAGAUUUGAAUUGUGAUUCGGCAGGAGUGAUAGUUUUUCCUUAUAUAGGCGACUAAUAUGCAUGGCCGAUAAGAAAAUCAUCCUGGUCUACAAGCGGCCUGAAUAGCAGAACAAACAGGUCGAACCUACAGUCAACGACAUCCUUCAUCUAGAUUCAGGUCCCGAUCGCAAUCUCGACGUCGCACAACGUAUGACAAAGAUGGGUCAAAUGUUAGCGAUGAUGUGAAUGAUCUCAUGAUGGCUUGGUUGCUGCUGCUGCUACUCGAAAAGCCACGCAAAUGGCAAGUACAAACAGCGCGGAACAACAGGACAAAAAAGAUGACAUUACUGCACAGUUAUUCUUGGAAAGUGCUUUAAGACAUCCUGGAUCAGGCCAGAACUGAAGCUGAUGCCGAUAUUCUUGCGAACUUGUGUGCAGCUGGUGUCACGGCCGGUGGUAGUCUGGCUGUCUCUACCCCAAAAAGGGCCUAGUGAACGAAGUUGUGUCCUAGUGGAUUGAUGUGUGAUUGUAGCGAACAGAGUUGUCCGUAUCCUCUGUGCGGUGAAGAGAAAUUCCAAUUUCACCUCACACUCUUCGAACUGUAACGAGAGCGCUUCUCUUUUGUCCGUGCUCACCACGCUUUUUGUGUACGUGCGCGACAAUGAGUGUGAAAAAAACAAAUAAAAAACUCUCAACGCUGGGCUGCGCUACAGCGUAGAAAACUACUCCCAAAUUCACCAAGGCGAAUGAAGAUAAACUCACCGACGCGCGCUCCAGUGAGAUUUCUAGCGUUGCAGAGCUAGCUGCACGAAAGUUUCAAACUAAUGUAUUCAUUAUUGCCGGUUGAUAAUUUUUUACUAAAAACAUUUUUAUUUAGCAUUUUACGCGCCGUAAUAGCAGACAUGAA